Molecule: long non-coding RNA, 2139 nt
Filed under: Olea europaea subsp. europaea
Lineage: Eukaryota; Viridiplantae; Streptophyta; Magnoliopsida; Lamiales; Oleaceae
Source: RNAcentral
CUCAUCUCUACCCACUUACAAAUCACUACCCUCUCUCUCAUCAAUUCAACCUAGCCAGGAGGAAGAACUCGACGACCCUCUGCUUCCAGAUCUGCCUCCGGGGAAAUCACUACAAAAGGUUGGCAAAAUAUUAACCCUUAAACCCCAGUUCUAAGUGAUUUUCUCGUGUAGCACUAGAAAUAUAAAUUUAAGUAUAUAUGUUUGUAAGUUUUGUGAAAAAAAAAGUUGUAGACAGUGAUCGCUUCUUGUAAUUGUUUAAAUUUCUGAAUACAUGCUAAGAUUAGUUUUUUCGUUCACGAGGUAGUUGAUAAAUAAUUUUUCAUCAUAUUAGUGGUUCUCGUAAUUCGCCUUUUAUUUCAAUUAGCUUUUCGGGUCGAUUUUUUUCUCCUGCACAAUGUUCUUAAUUUCUUUAAAUUUAGUAAGAAAUGGUAGGUCAGAAGAUAUCUGCUCCGCUGUUUGAACGACCCUAACAAACCUGUCGACCAGAAAUUCUAAGUAGGCAGUAUUCAAAAUUUUCAUAUCUUGUUUCUCCAUAUUCGCUCACAAAAAGAAAACCAGAGGGGAGAGAGUAAAUAAAGGGGUGGGGAGAGGAGUAUAUAACCUUAGUGUAGGGUGAGAAUUAUGAGGCGUUUAUCUGAUUGUAUAUGGUUAGUUGAGAAAUGACGUUAGUUAGUAACAGUUGGCAGGCCUGAACAGAUUGACGCACCUGGAAUACGGUAGGAAGUGUUGGUGACCACCGUUUAAUGAGUUAGUUUUUUUUUUCUUUUCUCACAUGGUUUUCCUGUUGCAAAGUGAAAACACUGCGCAAAACAAAAGGACUGAUUAGUGUUGACUGACUCUUUUUAAAUUGACUUCUAGCAUAAUGUUACAUACUGACCGUUGCAACUUGACUCCAAUUUUCCCAAGUCUGCUUUGCUUUAAUAUGAAAUCAAUGGAAAGUGAAUGUUUUCUUGGAUCAUAUAUACACUCUUCCCUACAGAAGAGAAGAACCAAAAUGGAAUUUAACUCUGUUGGCAAAAAAGGCUUACUGUCUUACUAUAGCAAUGGCUUCAUAGAUGAGCAGUGGUGGCUAGACUUGAACCUAGGAUCUUUUACUUGCUCUCAUACCAUGUUCCUUGCGUAUUGACAACUUGAGAACAACUUUUUUGAAUGGAGCAGAUGCCAUAAGACAAAAAUUAGUCAAGGUCCAUUAGUUGAUAUAAAUUGAACUCUGGUUUCUGUUUAUUUCCAGGAUAUAAGGUUCUAUUGCUUUGAUUUUAAGAUUUUAGUUUCAACUUGUGUAGUUCUGAGUCCUUUCGACAAGGUAAUGUAAUUAGAAUCAAGAUUUUAAUAUAAAUAUUGCACAUAUUAUUCCUUCGGGGUUUAUAUUGAACCUGUAAUUUUGUAUUGCGUGAUUUCAUCCACGGUGAGUUCAAGGUCAAGCUGAUUUUGACCAGUAGACUACAAUAACAAUCUCAUGUGAUGAGAUGGUUUGAAAGGAUCUUACACAUAACUGGGUAGUCGAUUUGUCUAUAGGAUCCCCUACGUCCACGCUUAAAAAUUCCUUAUCUUGGUGCCUGUAAUCGCCAAGAUGUAGUGGUAUCUUCUCAGAAUAUGAAUUGACAUUGUAAACAUGGCUGCUGCUUGGAUAUUUUUUCACUUGACACGACUUUCUUGGGAAUAAACAUAUCGAACCUUAAUGCUCUUUUAAUGGAGAGGAAUGAAGAGAAAGAAAAGAGAAAUUUGAGAAGAGGAAAAACCUCAAUUCUUUCUUUUCUUUAUUUUUUUAAAAUCUAAACCGUAAAUUCUCAUUGAUUUAGUUCACUGCAAACAGCGAAUGACAGGAAAGAUGUUAAACAAUGAAGUCAAAAAGCAGACUCCUCAGUCAUAAAAGCAUGAGCAGCGAGCUUGUGGCUGCUAUGUUCCUCAGAGGGACAUAGUGACAAGGACCACUAUGCAAAUCCGAAAACAACUCAGCAAUAUCAGACAAAGAAAAACCUCAGUUCUAAUUAGUACUCAAAUUGUAUAGAAUCUGAAAAUCUUGUUCCCGUUUUACACUUGUAUAAAACUUGAGUCAAAGGGAACCAAUAUUCCGUCUAACAGCAUAAAAAUAUCGUCAAAACCAUUUUAAUCUAAUCUGAAAAUUAUAUAAAAUCCAAA